RNAcentral lists this ribosomal RNA (1376 nucleotides) under Klebsiella pneumoniae. Its description in RNAcentral is "partial 23S ribosomal RNA". It matches the Rfam family "Bacterial large subunit ribosomal RNA", at positions 395 to 1779 of the family's 2925-position model. Lineage: Bacteria; Pseudomonadati; Pseudomonadota; Gammaproteobacteria; Enterobacterales; Enterobacteriaceae. The record is from RNAcentral.
GGUUGUGAACUCGAAGAGUAGGGCGGGACACGUGGUAUCCUGUCUGAAUAUGGGGGGACCAUCCUCCAAGGCUAAAUACUCCUGACUGACCGAUAGUGAACCAGUACCGUGAGGGAAAGGCGAAAAGAACCCCGGCGAGGGGAGUGAAAAAGAACCUGAAACCGUGUACGUACAAGCAGUGGGAGCACCUUCGGGUGUGACUGCGUACCUUUUGUAUAAUGGGUCAGCGACUUAUAUUCUGUAGCAAGGUUAACCGUAUAGGGGAGCCGCAGGGAAACCGAGUCUUAACUGGGCGUUAAGUUGCAGGGUAUAGACCCGAAACCCGGUGAUCUAGCCAUGGGCAGGUUGAAGGUUGGGUAACACUAACUGGAGGACCGAACCGACUAAUGUUGAAAAAUUAGCGGAUGACUUGUGGCUGGGGGUGAAAGGCCAAUCAAACCGGGAGAUAGCUGGUUCUCCCCGAAAGCUAUUUAGGUAGCGCCUCGUGAAUUCAUCUUCGGGGGUAGAGCACUGUUUCGGCUAGGGGGUCAUCCCGACUUACCAACCCGAUGCAAACUACGAAUACCGAAGAAUGUUAUCACGGGAGACACACGGCGGGUGCUAACGUCCGUCGUGAAGAGGGAAACAACCCAGACCGCCAGCUAAGGUCCCAAAGUCAUGGUUAAGUGGGAAACGAUGUGGGAAGGCACAGACAGCCAGGAUGUUGGCUUAGAAGCAGCCAUCAUUUAAAGAAAGCGUAAUAGCUCACUGGUCGAGUCGGCCUGCGCGGAAGAUGUAACGGGGCUAAACCAUGCACCGAAGCUGCGGCAGCGACACUAUGUGUUGUUGGGUAGGGGAGCGUUCUGUAAGCCUGCGAAGGUGACCUGUGAGGGUUGCUGGAGGUAUCAGAAGUGCGAAUGCUGACAUAAGUAACGAUAAAGCGGGUGAAAAGCCCGCUCGCCGGAAGACCAAGGGUUCCUGUCCAACGUUAAUCGGGGCAGGGUGAGUCGACCCCUAAGGCGAGGCCGAAAGGCGUAGUCGAUGGGAAACAGGUUAAUAUUCCUGUACUUGGUGUUACUGCGAAGGGGGGACGGAGAAGGCUAUGUUAGCCGGGCGACGGUUGUCCCGGUUUAAGCAUGUAGGCUGGUUAUCCAGGCAAAUCCGGAUAAUCAAGGCUGAGGUGUGAUGACGAGGCACUACGGUGCUGAAGUAACAAAUGCCCUGCUUCCAGGAAAAGCCUCUAAGCAUCAGGUAACAUCAAAUCGUACCCCAAACCGACACAGGUGGUCAGGUAGAGAAUACCAAGGCGCUUGAGAGAACUCGGGUGAAGGAACUAGGCAAAAUGGUGCCGUAACUUCGGGAGAAGGCACGCUGGUGUGUAGGUGAAGUCCCUGCGG